UGAACGCUGGCGGCAGGCCUAACACAUGCAAGUCGAGCGGUAUCACAAGAGAGCUUGCUCUCUGGGUGACGAGCGGCGGACGGGUGAGUAAUGUCUGGGAAACUGCCUGAUGGAGGGGGAUAACUACUGGAAACGGUAGCUAAUACCGCAUGACGUCUUCGGACCAAAGUGGGGGACCUUCGGGCCUCACGCCAUCAGAUGUGCCCAGAUGGGAUUAGCUAGUAGGUGGGGUAAUGGCUCACCUAGGCGACGAUCUCUAGCUGGUCUGAGAGGAUGACCAGCCACACUGGAACUGAGACACGGUCCAGACUCCUACGGGAGGCAGCAGUGGGGAAUAUUGCACAAUGGGCGCAAGCCUGAUGCAGCCAUGCCGCGUGUAUGAAGAAGGCCUUCGGGUUGUAAAGUACUUUCAGCGAGGAGGAAGGCAUUAAGGUUAAUAACCUUGGUGAUUGACGUUACUCGCAGAAGAAGCACCGGCUAACUCCGUGCCAGCAGCCGCGGUAAUACGGAGGGUGCAAGCGUUAAUCGGAAUUACUGGGCGUAAAGCGCACGCAGGCGGUUGAUUAAGUCAGAUGUGAAAUCCCCGAGCUUAACUUGGGAACUGCAUUUGAAACUGGUCAGCUAGAGUCUUGUAGAGGGGGGUAGAAUUCCAGGUGUAGCGGUGAAAAUGCGUAGAGAUCUGGAGGAAUACCGGUGGCGAAGGCGGCCCCCCUGGACAAAGACUGACGCUCAGGUGCGAAAGCGUGGGGAGCAAACAGGAUUAGAUACCCUGGUAGUCCACGCUGUAAACGAUAUCGACUUGGAGGUUGUGCCCUUGAGGCGUGGCUUCCGGAGCUAACGCGUUAAGUCGACCGCCUGGGGAGUACGGCCGCAAGGUUAAAACUCAAAUGAAUUGACGGGGGCCCGCACAAGCGGUGGAGCAUGUGGUUUAAUUCGAUGCAACGCGAAGAACCUUACCUACUCUUGACAUCCAGAGAAUUUGCUAGAGAUAGCUUAGUGCCUUCGGGAACUCUGAGACAGGUGCUGCAUGGCUGUCGUCAGCUCGUGUUGUGAAAUGUUGGGUUAAGUCCCGCAACGAGCGCAACCCUUAUCCUUUGUUGCCAGCACGUAAUGGUGGGAACUCAAAGGAGACUGCCGGUGAUAAACCGGAGGAAGGUGGGGAUGACGUCAAGUCAUCAUGGCCCUUACGAGUAGGGCUACACACGUGCUACAAUGGCAUAUACAAAGAGAAGCGAACUCGCGAGAGCAAGCGGACCUCAUAAAGUAUGUCGUAGUCCGGAUUGGAGUCUGCAACUCGACUCCAUGAAGUCGGAAUCGCUAGUAAUCGUAGAUCAGAAUGCUACGGUGAAUACGUUCCCGGGCCUUGUACACACCGCCCGCCACACCAUGGGAGUGGGUUGCAAAAGAAGUAGGUAGCUUAACCUUCGGGAGGGCGCCUACCAC
This 1443-nucleotide ribosomal RNA is filed under the name uncultured organism. RNAcentral's name for it is "16S ribosomal RNA". It matches the Rfam family "Bacterial small subunit ribosomal RNA". The record is from RNAcentral.